This 124-nucleotide ribosomal RNA is filed under the name uncultured bacterium. RNAcentral's name for it is "partial 16S ribosomal RNA". It matches the Rfam family "Bacterial small subunit ribosomal RNA", at positions 392 to 509 of the family's 1533-position model. The record is from RNAcentral.
CAAUGCCGCGUGAGCGAAGAAGGUCUUCGGAUUGUAAAGCUCUGUUGCCGGGGAAAAGGAAGGAAAGAGGAAAUGCUUUUCUUUGGAUGGUACCCGGCCAGAAAGUCACGGCUAACUACGUGCC